GGUUCGAUCAUGGCUCAGAUUGAACGCUGGCGAAGGAUAUUACACAUGCAAGUCGAACGGCAGCACGGACUUCGGUCUGGUGGCGAGUGGCGAACGGGUGAGUAAUGUAUCGGAACGUGUGCCUAGUAGCGAGGGGAUAACUACGCGGCGUAGCUAAUACCGCAUACGCCCUUCGGGGAAAGCGGGGACCUUCGGGCCUCGCACUAUUAGGAAGCGGCCGAUAUCGGAUUAGCCUAGUUGGUGGGGUAACGGCUCACCAAGGCGGCGAUCCGUAGCUGGUUUGAGAGGACGACCAGCCACACUGGGACUGAGACCUGGCCCAGACUCCUACGGGAGGCAGCAGUGGGGAAUUUUUGGACAAUGGGGGAAACCCUGAUCCAGCCAUCCCGCGUGUGCGAUGAAGAGGCCUUCGGGUUGUAAAGCACUUUUGGCAGGAAAGAAACGGCACAGGAUCUUUGUGCAACUGACAGUACCUGCAGAAUAAAAGCACCGGCUAACUGCGAUGCCAGCAGCCGCGGUAAUACGUAGGGUGCAAGCGUUAAUCCGGAAUUACUGGGCGUAAAGCCAUUAACGCAGGCGGUUCGGAAAGAGGAAUGUGAAAUCCGACUUAACUGCAGAACUGCAUUUUUAACUACCGAGCUAGAGUGUGUCAGAGGGUGAAUUCCGCGUGUAUAGCGUGAAAUGCGUAGAUAUGCCGGAGGAACACCGAUGGCGAAGGCAGCCUCCUGGGAUGGCACAUGACAUGUACACGAAAAGCGUGGGGAGCAAACAGGAUUAGAUACCCUGGUAGUCCACGCCCUAAACGAUGUCAACUAGCUGUUGGGGCCUUCGGGCCUUGUUGGCACCUUCUUGCGUGAAGUUGAAACCGCCUGGGAAAUCCUGGUCGCAAGGUCAAAAGCUCAAAGAGUCGCGGGGACCCGCUGAAGCGGUGGAUGAUGGAUUAAUUCGAUGCAACACGAAAAAACCUUACACCCAUAGCAUGUCUGGAAUCCCGAAGAGAUUGGGAGUGCUCGCAAGAGAACAGAAGACACAGGUGCUGCAUGGCUGUGAUAAGCUCGUGUCGUGAGAUAUUGGGUUAAGUCCCGCAACGAGCGCAACCCUUGUCAUUAGUUGCUACGAAGAGCACUCUAAUGAGACUACCCGGUGACAAACCGGAGGAAGGUGGGGAUGACAUUAAGUCCUCAUAGCUUACCGGUGGAGGCUUCUGCAUCCAUACAAUGGUCGGGACAGAGGGUCAUCUAUACGAGGGGGAGCCAAUCCCAGAAACCCGAUCGUAGUCCGGAUCGCAGUCUGCAACUCGACUGCGUGAAAGUCGAAUCCUUCAGUAAUCGCGGAUCAGCAUGUCGCGGUGAUACGUUCCCGGGUCUUGUACACACCGCCCGUCACACCAUGGGAGUGGGUUUGCAGAAGUAGUUAGCCUAACCGCCGGAAGGCGUUACGGUAAGUUCACGUGAAAGCUGGGGUGAAGUCGCAACCGAGUAA
Molecule: ribosomal RNA, 1482 nt
Filed under: uncultured Bordetella sp.
Lineage: Bacteria; Pseudomonadati; Pseudomonadota; Betaproteobacteria; Burkholderiales; Alcaligenaceae
Description: partial 16S-23S ribosomal RNA intergenic spacer
Rfam family: Bacterial small subunit ribosomal RNA
Source: RNAcentral